RNAcentral lists this long non-coding RNA (1423 nucleotides) under Homo sapiens (human). Its description in RNAcentral is "HSALNT0247311". The record is from RNAcentral. Lineage: Eukaryota; Metazoa; Chordata; Mammalia; Primates; Hominidae.
GAAGAAGGUAAGACCACCUGAGAGUGAGGAAGGCUUCUACAGCUCAAAGCAGUUAGAAGAACGUGAAAGUCACAAAGGAAACAAUGGAAUGAAUGAAACUGAAUACCUUCUUCUCAUAGAUAAAGUCCUUCUUGGACUGCAUGGGAAUCAAGAGAUCUGAGUCAUAGUUCUGGUUCUGCCACUUGUUAGGUUUCUUUCUCUGGGAUUUAGUUUCCUCUUCACAAAGCUGUGAACAGAUGAUCUUAUUCUUCUUCCACUUUUAAUAUCUCUGAGUCGAUGGCAUUCUGUCUCUUUUUUGGCUUCUGAGUGACAGGCAGGAAUGUAAAUCAUGGACUUCUUUUUAAAGUUGAAAGUAUUCUUGCAGACCAUAGGUGUCUGAAUUCAUGCUCUAAUAUACUGGGUUUUGAGGUGGCCUGAUGAACUGUUGAUCUUCUUGCUGGCCAGAGUUUUGAGCCAAUCAGGAGAUAAGGCAAAGGAGUCAGGCAGACAGAUUAAAACACUGUCUUUAUUACUGGUAAAUCUGAUAUUGGCAAAUGUGUCUUAGAGCUGCAGACAAAUGGGCUUUAUAAUACUGAAUUCCAGAAUGAGGCAGACUUACCCACCAGAGUCACAGGCAGCACAGAAAAUCACAUGCUUUGUUAUGCUGUCUCUGGUAAUUUUCACAUAGGGAAGCAGAGCAGAACACAGGCUUUCUGUAGGCAGCCAGCUCCUUAAAGGCAAGGAGAGAAGAAGGAGUGGGACAAUCCAUGAUCAGGUUUUCCUCCAAACUUAUCAGUGAAUUAAGUUAUUCCUUCAGGCAGAAAUAAGAAAGAAGCAGAGAGACAGAGGGAGAGAGAGAGAAAAGAGGCAGUGGUAUUAAGCUACUUCAUUGACUGCUUCUCCUGUCUCCUUUAUUGGUUUCUCCUCAUCUUCCUAAUUUUCAAACACUGGAAUAUUUCAGAUUCAAUCCUUAAAACUCUUAUUUGUCUUAUUCUCUUCCCAUUUGCUCUCCUCGAGUCUCAUGGCCUUGUCUAUGAUGAUCCCAAAAUUAUAUCUCCAGACUGAAAUACUUCUUUGAACUCCAAAACUUCAUAUUCUUUUAGGUCUUUACUCAAAUGUCCUUUUCUCAGCUUUCCCUAACUAUCCUAUAUAAAAUAUCUGGAACCCUCUACCCAGCACAGUCUAUCUCUUUACUCUAUUUUCCUCCAUAGUACUCUUCACCCCCCGCCCUAAUAUAUUCCUACUACUUGUUUAUCCUCCAUAGACAAUGUCUGUAUAAUGAAAAUUUCAUGAAGACAGGGUAUAGAAAGUGCCUGGCAUAUGGUAGUCAUUCAAUUAAUAUUGGUUGGUUGACUAAAUUAGUAAAUGAAAGCUAAGGUGCGUCUCCAACUGGGAAGGAAACAUUAAGAUUAGGGAAGACGCAUCCUCCCUCACAACAUCAUAC